AGUUUAAGGCAUUUUGGAACUUUUAAAAGACCCGCAAGGGUAUGCUAAGAGAUGGGCUUGCGGCACAUUAGUUAGUUGGUAAGGUAACGGCUUACCAAGACUAUGAUGUGUAGCUGGACUGAGAGGUUGAACGGCCACAUUGGGAUUGAGAUACGGCCCAAACUCCUACGGGAGGCAGCAGUAAGGAAUUUUCGGCAAUGGAGGAAACUCUGACCGAGCAACGCCGCGUGAACGAUGAAAUAUUUAGGUAUGUAAAGUUCUUUUAUUAAAGAAGAAAAAAUGAUGGAAAAAUCAUUCUGACGGUAUUUAAUGAAUAAGCCCCGGCUAACUAUGUGCCAGCAGCUGCGGUAAUACAUGGGGGGCAAGCGUUAUCCGGAUUUAUUGGGCGUAAAGGGUGUGUAGGCGGUUUAAUAAGUCUAUGGUAUAAGUUCAACGCUUAACGUUGUGAUGCUAUGGAAACUGUUUGACUAGAGUUGGAUAGAGGCAAGUGGAAUUCCAUGUGUAGCGGUAAAAUGCGUAAAUAUAUGGAGGAACACCAGUAGCGAAGGCGGCUUGCUGGGUCUUAACUGACGCUGAGGCACGAAAGCGUGGGGAGCAAACAGGAUUAGAUACCCUGGUAGUCCACGCCGUAAACGAUGAGUACUAAGUGUUGGGUUAAACCAGUGCUGAAGUUAACACAUUAAGUACUCCGCCUGAGUAGUACGUACGCAAGUAUGAAACUUAAAGGAAUUGACGGGACUCCGCACAAGCGGUGGAUCAUGUUGUUUAAUUYGAAGAUACACGAAAAACCUUACCAGGUCUUGACAUACUCUGCAAAGCUAUAGAAAUAUAGUGGAGGUUAUCAGGGAUACAGGUGGUGCAUGGUUGUCGUCAGCUCGUGUCGUGAGAUGUUGGGUUAAGUCCCGCAACGAGCGCAACCCUUAUCGCUAGUUACCAUCAUUUAGUUGGGCACUUUAGUGAGACUGCCAAUGAUAAAUUGGAGGAAGGUGGGGAUUACGUCAAAUCAUCAUGCCCCUUAUGACCUGGGCUACAAACGUGAUACAAUGGCUGUUACAAAGAGUAGCUGAAGCGUGAGUUUUUAGCAAAUCUCAAAAAAACAGUCUCAGUUCGGAUUGAAGUCUGCAACUCGACUUCAUGAAGUC
Molecule: ribosomal RNA, 1142 nt
Filed under: Candidatus Phytoplasma mali
Lineage: Bacteria; Bacillati; Mycoplasmatota; Mollicutes; Acholeplasmatales; Acholeplasmataceae
Description: bacterial SSU rRNA
Source: RNAcentral